This 73-nucleotide transfer RNA is filed under the name Chloroflexota bacterium. RNAcentral describes it as "tRNA-Ala". It matches the Rfam family "tRNA". Rfam says of the family: Transfer RNA (tRNA) molecules are approximately 80 nucleotides in length. RNAcentral also lists the same sequence under 1 other name. The record is from RNAcentral. Lineage: Bacteria; Bacillati; Chloroflexota.
GGGGCGUUAGUUCAGUUGGGAGAACGCUUGAUUUGCAUUCAAGAGGUGGCGGGUUCGAGCCCCGCACGCUCCA